GACGAACGCUGGCGGCGUGCCUAAUACAUGCAAGUAGAACGCUGAAGGAGGAGCUUGCUCUUCUGGAUGAGUUGCGAACGGGUGAGUAACGCGUAGGUAACCUGCCUGGUAGCGGGGGAUAACUAUUGGAAACGAUAGCUAAUACCGCAUAAGAGUAGAUGUUGCAUGACAUUUACUUAAAAGGUGCAAUUGCAUCACUACCAGAUGGACCUGCGUUGUAUUAGCUAGUUGGUGGGGUAACGGCUUACCAAGGCGACGAUACAUAGCCGACCUGAGAGGGUGAUCGGCCACACUGGGACUGAGACACGGCCCAGACUCCUACGGGAGGCAGCAGUAGGGAAUCUUCGGCAAUGGACGGAAGUCUGACCGAGCAACGCCGCGUGAGUGAAGAAGGUUUUCGGAUCGUAAAGCUCUGUUGUAAGAGAAGAACGAGUGUGAGAGUGGAAAGUUCACACUGUGACGGUAUCUUACCGGAAAGGGACGGCUAACUACGUG
Molecule: ribosomal RNA, 495 nt
Filed under: uncultured bacterium
Lineage: Bacteria
Description: partial 16S ribosomal RNA
Rfam family: Bacterial small subunit ribosomal RNA
Source: RNAcentral